UGCGUUCGGGCUGCAAUUCAGCUUUCCNGCG
This 31-nucleotide non-coding RNA is filed under the name Rattus norvegicus (Norway rat). The record is from RNAcentral. Lineage: Eukaryota; Metazoa; Chordata; Mammalia; Rodentia; Muridae.